Molecule: ribosomal RNA, 464 nt
Filed under: Rhodotorula mucilaginosa
Lineage: Eukaryota; Fungi; Basidiomycota; Microbotryomycetes; Sporidiobolales; Sporidiobolaceae
Description: partial large subunit ribosomal RNA
Rfam family: Eukaryotic large subunit ribosomal RNA
Source: RNAcentral
CGCACACAAGUCUGUUGGAAUACAGCGGCAUAGUGGUGAGACCCCCGUAUAUGGUGCGGACGCCCAGCGCUUUGUGAUACAUUUUCGAAGAGUCGAGUUGUUUGGGAAUGCAGCUCAAAUUGGGUGGUAAAUUCCAUCUAAAGCUAAAUAUUGGCGAGAGACCGAUAGCGAACAAGUACCGUGAGGGAAAGAUGAAAAGCACUUUGGAAAGAGAGUUAACAGUACGUGAAAUUGUUGGAAGGGAAACGCUUGAAGUCAGACUUGCUUGCCGAGCAAUCGGUUUGCAGGCCAGCAUCAGUUUUCCGGGAUGGAUAAUGGUAGAGAGAAGGUAGCAGUUUCGGCUGUGUUAUAGCUCUCUGCUGGAUACAUCUUGGGGGACUGAGGAACGCAGUGUGCCUUUUGGCGGGGGUUUCGACCUCUUCACACUUAGGAUGCUGGUGGAAUGGCUUUAAACGACCCGUCUU